UACGAAGGGGGCUAGCGUUGCUCGGAAUUACUGGGCGUAAAGCGCCCGUAGGCGGCUUUCUAAGUCAGGGGUGAAAUCCUGGAGCUCAACUCCAGAACUGCCUUUGAUACUGGAGAGCUUGAGUCCGGAAGAGGUGAGUGGAACUCCGAGUGUAGAGGUGAAAUUCGUAGAUAUUCGGAAGAACACCAGUGGCGAAGGCGGCUCACUGGUCCGGUACUGACGCUGAGGUGCGAAAGCGUGGGGAGCAAACAGG
Molecule: ribosomal RNA, 253 nt
Filed under: uncultured bacterium
Lineage: Bacteria
Description: partial 16S ribosomal RNA
Rfam family: Bacterial small subunit ribosomal RNA
Source: RNAcentral